RNAcentral lists this transfer RNA (76 nucleotides) under Acinetobacter baumannii. RNAcentral describes it as "tRNA-Glu". It matches the Rfam family "tRNA". From Rfam's summary of the family: Transfer RNA (tRNA) molecules are approximately 80 nucleotides in length. Their secondary structure includes four short double-helical elements and three loops (D, anti-codon, and T loops). Further hydrogen bonds mediate the characteristic L-shaped molecular structure. tRNAs have two regions of fundamental functional importance: the anti-codon, which is responsible for specific mRNA codon recognition, and the 3' end, to which the tRNAs corresponding amino acid is attached (by aminoacyl-tRNA synthetases). tRNAs cope with the degeneracy of the genetic code in two manners: having more than one tRNA (with a specific anti-codon) for a particular amino acid; and 'wobble' base-pairing, i.e. permitting non-standard base-pairing at the 3rd anti-codon position. Lineage: Bacteria; Pseudomonadati; Pseudomonadota; Gammaproteobacteria; Moraxellales; Moraxellaceae. The record is from RNAcentral.
GUCCCUAUCGUCUAGAGGCCUAGGACAUCGCCCUUUCACGACGGUAACCGGGGUUCGAAUCCCCGUAGGGACGCCA